UUUCAGAGCUCUAGGCUAGCAUCUUCCAUACAUUAUCAGUUAUUCCACGAAACUGUAUAAUUUAGGUACUAUUAUUCCUAUUUUACAGAUGAAAAGGAAAUUUAGAGUGGUUGAAUAGUUACUGGGUUACUAAAUGUGAGAUGGAAGAUUUGAAUCCUGGAAGUUUAAUUCUACAGCCUGCGAAGUGUGUAAUGUGUUACACAGAAAAGUCUGGAAUGUAUAUACAUUUUCCUGCCUGGCAAGACAUCACAACUGAUUUUACCAUGGAGCAAGCAGUCUGUAGCCAGCACUGGGCUGUAACCUAGUACUUGGUCUUUAAUCUCUGAUCUUAAGCAUUACAUUUUCUUUGAAUUGUUUUAAAGCCUUAUAUUUUAUUUUUCAAUAUUUAUGUAGAAAACAAUAGGGCCCGAUGCAAUUUCUUUUUUGUUUUGUUUUGUUUUUUUGAGACAGGGUCUCACUAUGUAGUUGAGACUGACCUGGAACUCACUAUGUAGCCCAGGCUGGUCUCAAACUCACAGUGAUCCUCCUGCCUCAGCCUCCCAAGUGCUGGGAUUAUAGGAGUGUGCCACCACACCAGGUCGGAUGCAGUUUCUUGGUAAUGUAGCCUGCCAAACAAGUGGUUGAUAUGUAAAUAGGCAGGGCCAGGAAAGGAAUUUACUUUUUUUUUUUUUUUUUUUUUUUUUUGCAGUCUUGCUUUUCUCUCUCUUCUGAGGAAGCUGGGGAUGGAAGAGCAAGCAGAGAAGUAGUUGUUAACUCACGUUCCUGUUUGGGAGGGGCUGGAGGAGCAGAGAGAGAGUGCAGGUGUGUGUCAGAGAUGAGGAAGGGUCACAAGAUGGCUGAGGU
Molecule: long non-coding RNA, 843 nt
Filed under: Fukomys damarensis (Damara mole-rat)
Lineage: Eukaryota; Metazoa; Chordata; Mammalia; Rodentia; Bathyergidae
Description: lncRNA (ENSFDAG00000027305.1)
Source: RNAcentral